This 500-nucleotide ribosomal RNA is filed under the name uncultured crenarchaeote. RNAcentral's name for it is "bacterial SSU rRNA". It matches the Rfam family "Archaeal small subunit ribosomal RNA", at positions 1 to 480 of the family's 1478-position model. The record is from RNAcentral. Lineage: Archaea; Thermoproteati; Thermoproteota.
UUCCGGUUGAUCCUGCCGGACCCGACCGCUAUCGGGGUGGGGCUAAGCCAUGGGAGUCGCACGCUCCGCCGCCGCGGGGCGUGGCGCACGGCUGAGUAGCACGUGGCUAACCUACCCUCGGGAGGGGGAUAACACCGGGAAACUGGUGCUAAUCCCCCAUAGGGGAAGGCGCCUGGAAGGGUCCUUCCCCGAAAGGGUUUGGCAGGGGUUAUCGCUGCCAAGCCGCCCGAGGAUGGGGCUACGGCCCAUCAGGUAGUUGGCGGGGUAAUGGCCCGCCAAGCCGAUAACGGGUGGGGGCCGUGAGAGCGGGAGCCCCCAGAUGGGCACUGAGACAAGGGCCCAGGCCCUAAGGGGCGCACCAGGCGCGAAACCUCCGCAAUGCGGGCAACCGUGACGGGGCCACCCCGAGUGCCCCCUUUCCGGGGGCUUUUCCCCGCUGUAGGUAGGCGGGGGAAUAAGCGGGGGGCAAGUCUGGUGUCAGCCGCCGCGGUAAUACCAGC